Molecule: ribosomal RNA, 638 nt
Filed under: uncultured fungus
Lineage: Eukaryota; Fungi
Description: eukaryotic LSU rRNA
Rfam family: 5.8S ribosomal RNA (bases 254-407)
Source: RNAcentral
CUUGGUCAUUUAGAGGAAGUAAAAGUCGUAACAAGGUCUCCGUUGGUGGACCAGCGGAGGGAUCAUUACCGAGUUUACAACUCCCAAACCCAUGUGAACAUUACCUCUAUGUUGCUUCGGCGGAGCCGCCCCGGCGCCCGGAACCCCCUGCGGUCCCGCGGCCCGGAACCAAGGCGCCCGCCGGAGGCCACAAACUCUUCUGUUUUUACAGUUUCUUCUGAGUGUGCCGCAAGGCAGUAUACAAAUGAAUCAAAACUUUCAACAACGGAUCUCUUGGUUCUGGCAUCGAUGAAGAACGCAGCGAAAUGCGAUAAGUAAUGUGAAUUGCAGAAUUCAGUGAAUCAUCGAAUCUUUGAACGCACAUUGCGCCCGCCAGAAUUCUGGCGGGCAUGCCUGUUCGAGCGUCAUUUCAACCCUCGAGCUCCCCUUUCGGGGGGAGCCCGGCGUUGGGGACCCGGCGCUAACAACGCCGGCCCCGAAAUGGAGUGGCGGCCCGUCCGCGGCGACCUCUGCGUAGUAACAACCACUCGCACCGGGACCCGGGCGCGGCCACGCCGUAAAACACCCCACCUUCCGAAUGUUGACCUCGAAUCAGGUAGGAAUACCCGCUGAACUUAAGCAUAUCAAUAAGCGGAGGA